GAUGAACGCUGGCGGCGUGCCUAAUACAUGCAAGUCGAGCGAACAGACGAGGAGCUUGCUCCUCUGACGUUAGCGGCGGACGGGUGAGUAACACGUGGAUAACCUACCUAUAAGACUGGGAUAACUUCGGGAAACCGGAGCUAAUACCGGAUAAUAUAUUGAACCGCAUGGUUCAAUAGUGAAAGACGGUUUUGCUGUCACUUAUAGAUGGAUCCGCGCCGCAUUAGCUAGUUGGUAAGGUAACGGCUUACCAAGGCAACGAUGCGUAGCCGACCUGAGAGGGUGAUGGGCCCCACUGGAACUGAGACACGGUCCAGACUCCUACGGGAGGCAGCAGUAGGGAAUCUUCCGCAAUGGGCGAAAGCUUGACGGAGCAACGCCGCGUGAGUGAUGAAGGUCUUCGGAUCGUAAAACUCUGUUAUUAGGGAAGAACAAAUGUGUAAGUAACUAUGCACGUCUUGACGGUACCUAAUCAGAAAGCCACGGCUAACUACGUG
RNAcentral lists this ribosomal RNA (497 nucleotides) under uncultured bacterium. Its description in RNAcentral is "partial 16S ribosomal RNA". It matches the Rfam family "Bacterial small subunit ribosomal RNA", at positions 28 to 507 of the family's 1533-position model. The record is from RNAcentral.